GGCAGGAUGGCCGAGUGGUCUAAGGCGCCGCGUUCAGGUCGCGGUCCGAAAGGGCGUGGGUUCGAACCCCACUCCUGUCA
This 80-nucleotide transfer RNA is filed under the name Babesia microti strain RI. It matches the Rfam family "tRNA". From Rfam's summary of the family: Transfer RNA (tRNA) molecules are approximately 80 nucleotides in length. Their secondary structure includes four short double-helical elements and three loops (D, anti-codon, and T loops). Lineage: Eukaryota; Apicomplexa; Aconoidasida; Piroplasmida; Babesiidae. The record is from Rfam by way of RNAcentral.